GAUCGCUUGAGCCCAGGAGUUUGAGGUUGCUGUGAGCUAUGAUGACAACACCGUAGUCUAGCCCAGGCAGCAGAGCCAGACCUUGUCUAACAAAAGGAGGGACAUGUGAAAGAGCUUUGCUGAGUGAGAAAAAGAUACACACAAGAAUGGGUAAGAGUGAGCGAGAAACAGACGGGACAGAAAGGAAACUACUAACCCAGAGACAAGAGACAGAAGGAGGUGGCAAUGACAGAUCUAAAACAAGGAGCCUCCCAGGUAGCUGGAACCACAGGCCUGUGCCACCAUGCCCAGUGACCUGCCAACAUUUUGAGAAAGGCCACAAUCUGGAAUCCUUGGGAGAGCAAGUUCAGCUCCAAACUGCCACUAACAAGGACAGGCCAGGGCCCGCCCAAGACUUCUCCCGCACAUACCUGGAGUGGCUGCCUGCCCUGGCGCGGAGACGGCGAAAUGGGAAGAGU
This is a non-coding RNA of Microcebus murinus (gray mouse lemur), 458 nucleotides long. Lineage: Eukaryota; Metazoa; Chordata; Mammalia; Primates; Cheirogaleidae. The record is from RefSeq and is a predicted model, not a curated record.